GGAGAAGGUUAGGUUAGCAGACUGUUGGAUGUCUGUUUAAGUUGGUAGGUGGGGAGUUUAGGCAAAUCCGGACUUCCUUAACACUGAGAGAUGAUGACGAGUUUCUACGGAAAUGAAGUAACUGAUACCACGCUUCCAGGAAAAGCCACUAAGCUUCAGGUUUAUCUAAACCGUACUGAAAACCGACACAGGUGGUCAGGUAGAGAAUACUCAGGCGCUUGAGAGAACUCGGGUGAAGGAAC
This 242-nucleotide ribosomal RNA is filed under the name Glaesserella parasuis. RNAcentral describes it as "partial 23S ribosomal RNA". It matches the Rfam family "Bacterial large subunit ribosomal RNA", at positions 1474 to 1713 of the family's 2925-position model. The record is from RNAcentral. Lineage: Bacteria; Pseudomonadati; Pseudomonadota; Gammaproteobacteria; Pasteurellales; Pasteurellaceae.